AUUUAUUUCCGCACACCCCUUCAUUUCUAAAUCAGUUCUCACCUGUGCUGGUAUUUUCUGAAGCAUAGGCUCACGUUAGGUCUCACCUGUAGGAGCUUGUGCUACCUGAGUUGAUAAUAAAAAUCAGGUAACAUUAGCAUUUACAAUAUUUGCACUGUUCAUCUUCCUUUGGAAGCUUUCUCUGAAUUUCUCUUCCAAUACUUAAUGGGCAUGUUAGAAAAGUAGUAACCUUCACUACUAGGGGACUGUCCUAUUAGCUAAAGUGUGAGCUACUGUUGAGAGCCAAUAAUGAGCUAUGCAUGAGGACUUUCUGGUGAAGACCAGGGGCUGAUUGUCCAUCUAGCUGUGGCCAUGCCAGCACUCUUAUUUACUACAUCAGGAUUGUGUAUCUAGGACUUGGCAGAAGCUUCCUGAAACUUCUUACAUUUAGAGUAAGAACACAGUAAUAAAAAUUCCAGAGCAAUGAGUACUUACUCUAUUGGGGAAAGUGCUAGGUUCUUGACAUUCUGCAGUGUAACUAACAACAUUAUUCCUAUUUUUUUUUGCAGAUGAAGAAACACAGAAUUAAGCUUAAAAAAUUAUUGUGAAUUAUUUAUUGAGAGGCAGAGGGAGGAAUCCAUGUUGUUUUUCAUUUCAAAACAUGCUUUCGCCCUCCACACUCCGCUCAGGUAUCAUAUGCAACUCUAAACUUAAAGUGCUUCAUCACUGAGAUUUAUGGAAAGAACUCAGACAAGUAUGGGGUUCUGAUACCCUUGCAUUAAACUGGGAAAUCAAGCAACCCUCUGUGAUCCACCAACAAAUGAGAAGCAGAUCUGUAAUAACCUGGAACCUGGAGACGGGGAGCUUUGUCAUUGACACCAGGGCACUGUCCUUGAGCCCCUCUGGAAGGAGCCACACAUAGUAGUUUUUCAUCACAUGCACUGCAUCCAGACUUCAGGGCAUCCGGUGUUGGACUCUCAUCUGUCAGCCUAAGCGAGACUGCAGACUUUUGGGACUGUGGCUCCCUGGGAGCACGGGAAGGUGACCAAGGAGGUGGCUCACAGCACUGAUGGCGUCGCACGCAGAAGUGGACAGCCCGCCCAAGACGACUGUUCCGAGGUUACGGCAUCUGCUCCUCCAUACUUUUCUCCCUGUACUUCUUUGCUCUUCAUGGCAAGAUAGUUUAAUAACCAAGAUUUUAUACUCACUGGUCGCUUAGGGAACUUUCCUAAAUGUUGAGUGUGUCCUGUUAAAUCUAAAUUGUUUUGUGAUCUAACAGAACUUCCAGCUCACCUGGAAGAAAAUUUCACUGAUAUCCUAAGUGUGGUUAUUUGUGCAGCUACAUAUCUGAUCCUUUCUAUCAGUUUAGGUUUUUAGAUUAUCAUAUUAGAUUUCUUGUUUAAAUCUGACAAGUCUGCAAAACCUAGAGUUAGGGUUUUACAGCUAAAUUAUAUCAGAAAUUGAAUAAGAAAACCAAAGGGAGAUAUUUUAGAAGUUUGUAGGAAAAUUUGUUUCUCUAAUAUAAUUGUCGGUAGCUUCUAGAUGGCAAUAAUUCAAUAAUGGAGUCGUGGAUAAGUAUUAUUAGUGCUCCCCUGUUGGUGAUGCCUCACACACAAGGGCUCCCACAGGGGACUCUUUUAUCCCUCCAGAGUGCACUUUUAUCUGUAAAGAAUUUGAUCAACAAUGCAUGGGCACCCAAUGUCUUCAUUAAGUAGGAAAAAAGCUCUGCGUGGGUGAGGGGGUCCUCACAAUACCAUUCGUCCCAUUACCAAUUGGAAACUGAGAAUGUUCAGGUCUACAUCUCUUAAUUUUCACGAUGGAAUAAAGUGGAGAUUUGCAGCUGGCACAAACCCCUCUGAAAGGGCGUCUUUUGUAGAAUGUUCCAUCCCUUCUUGGCACAAAGGUAAGUGAAGUUAUGAUUAAGAAGCCACUGCAAAUAUUAGUUACCAUGGCUAUGAUAGUUACCCAGCAAACUUCUUUGUUUCUCUUGCUGAUGAUGUUUUUGGCAAGAGGAUAGCUUUGGACUACUUACUGGCUGAAAAACAGUGUGGGGAGAGUUCGUAUCUCUUGUUGUACCUGUGUAAAUAUGUCUGAUGCGGUAAAUACUCAGUUAUACAAAAUCAACAAACUGCUUGGUUACAUCAAGUAGUUCUUUCUUCCAUCUUCUGACUUAUUGAUUCUUUUACUUAUCUGAGCUUAAUUGUUUUGAGGCGUGGGCUCCAAUUAAGGAGUAUGCUUACCUCUUAGUAUUAUGCCCAUAGCCAUCAAACUAGUCUUCCUGUUGUGCUAUAUCCUUUCAGGAGUCGCAGACAUUUGUGAGCAGCCAUGCCUGGUGCAUCAAAUGACUGCUCUCUGUUUAGAGCAACAAAACAUGAAGGCAGUAUAAAGAACCAUUUAAGUGACUUGGUGACAUGACUUGGGAAACCACCGGUAUUUUGUUAUAGUAACGAAAGACGGAUUAAUCCGAAAGUUUGCAUCAAGGAGUGGGGCAUUGCUGUGACUACCCUGCACCUGUGGAGGUAUGUUGGGAGUUGGGUGACACAGUUAUUUUAUUAUGCCAAAGAUGGACUGAUAUAGUAUGUAUCAAGAAACCAUACAGGGAAACAACUAAGUUUAGGGCAGUCACGAGUACAGUUCCACUAAUCAGGCAGCCAGUCCCUCACACUGGGUCUACAUAAGGCAAAUGCUUGGCUUUGAUGGAGUGAGUGAUUCUGUGCUCACUUCCAUGUUUGUAACGGUUUCUGCUUAGCUCUCUCAACUGACUCAGGGCGCUCCUGGAUUCAUGAAUUGUUCUUUGCUCAAAUAUAAUCUACUAAAGUUAAUUUGUCUAAAAUUUUCCUUUUAGCAGCAGUUUUAAAAUUAGCUAUUUUAAUAGAAAGAAAAAAAGUACACGUGUUGGUCAGUAAUUUUUACCACAGAGUUUGUAAAGAUCCUCCUAAAAUUUGAUGUCAAAAGUUUUUGAUUUUAUAUAGCAUUAUAUGAUCUCCUAAUUAGGUAGAAAUAAGAUGAAAGCUUCCAAUUCCCUUAUUUGACCUUCAGAUUUUUUCCUAAAUAUGUUAUUCAAUUUCUUUUUUCAAAUGCCCUAAACCAUCUUCUUUUUUCAGUAACAAAAAUCUUACUAAUGUCUAGUUUUAUACUUUUCUGCAUUUAUGUGGAUGUGUCCCAUUAACCACAGUCCUCUUAACCAUUUUACUACUGUGACCUUUCUUUCGGUUUCCCUUUGGGUGGGUUUGCUGGAAUGCUUCGAUCUGAAAUUUCAUUUAUUUUGUUACUCUAGGACAUUUUUAGGGUAUGCCUUUGUCAAGGGAACCAUACCAUGCGUCUUGGUUUCCUUGCCCCAAAAUCUUUUCUUCUCACAUGUGUCAUAGCCCACUUGAUUAAAACCCUUAGUCCAUUUUAUUCACAAGUACUUGAUAAUCUGAUCUCUUUUUGUACAUCUGUGGCUUGAUGUUUAUAAUGUAUUUAUUGGAUUUAAAAUGGCAUUUGUACUCUAUGUUUGUUUAUCUGGUCUGGAGUUUCUUCAUUCAUUUCAUUUGGUUGUUUAUCUUAGCUUGGGGCUCUUAUAGUAUUGAAUUUAUAUUCUUCUUAAGUUCUUUUACAGCAUGAUGUGUUUUUUGGGAAAUGAUCUUCUUUUCACUGUAUUUGUUUGCUUUUUUGUUUUUCUUAAAAUAAAUUCUUCAUCUGGUUUCUGC
Molecule: long non-coding RNA, 3671 nt
Organism: Heterocephalus glaber (naked mole-rat)
Lineage: Eukaryota; Metazoa; Chordata; Mammalia; Rodentia; Bathyergidae
Source: Ensembl